RNAcentral lists this ribosomal RNA (254 nucleotides) under Escherichia coli. RNAcentral describes it as "partial 23S ribosomal RNA". It matches the Rfam family "Bacterial large subunit ribosomal RNA", at positions 2071 to 2324 of the family's 2925-position model. The record is from RNAcentral. Lineage: Bacteria; Pseudomonadati; Pseudomonadota; Gammaproteobacteria; Enterobacterales; Enterobacteriaceae.
CGCGGCAAGACGGAAAGACCCCGUGAACCUUUACUAUAGCUUGACACUGAACAUUGAGCCUUGAUGUGUAGGAUAGGUGGGAGGCUUAGAAGUGUGGACGCCAGUCUGCAUGGAGCCGACCUUGAAAUACCACCCUUUAAUGUUUGAUGUUCUAACGUUGACCCGUGAUCCGGGUUGCGGACAGUGUCUGGUGGGUAGUUUGACUGGGGCGGUCUCCUCCUAAAGAGUAACGGAGGAGCACGAAGGUUGGCUAA